RNAcentral lists this ribosomal RNA (335 nucleotides) under uncultured Planctomycetales bacterium. RNAcentral describes it as "bacterial SSU rRNA". It matches the Rfam family "Bacterial small subunit ribosomal RNA", at positions 473 to 806 of the family's 1533-position model. Lineage: Bacteria; Pseudomonadati; Planctomycetota; Planctomycetia; Planctomycetales. The record is from RNAcentral.
CUAAGGCUCCAGAGGAAGCCACGGCUAACUCUGUGCCAGCAGCCGCGGUAAUACAGAGGCGGCAAGCGUUGUUCGGAAUUAUUGGGCGUAAAGAGCACGUAGGCGGCCUUGCAAGUCAGUUGUGAAAGCCUUCCGCUUAACGGAAGAAUGCCGGCUGAUACUACAGGGCUUGAGUACGGGAGGGGAGAGUGGAACUUCUGGUGGAGCGGUGAAAUGCGUAGAUAUCAGAAGGAACGCCGGCGGCGAAAGCGACUCUCUGGCCCGAAACUGACGCUGAGUGUGCGAAAGCUAGGGGAGCAAACGGGAUUAGAUACCCCGGUAGUCCUAGCCGUAAA